RNAcentral lists this long non-coding RNA (701 nucleotides) under Pan troglodytes (chimpanzee). RNAcentral describes it as "long non-coding RNA NONPTRT003037". Lineage: Eukaryota; Metazoa; Chordata; Mammalia; Primates; Hominidae. The record is from RNAcentral.
GGCGCUCUUUCUCCUCUUUCCAGCUAAUGGCAAAUGCUAUGAGCAGCACCAUGCUCUUGAGGAUGCCAAGCUAUUUUGCAAUUCCCUUGAGUCAAGAAAAAAAUUGAAUGGUCCCUCAUACUCUGAAUCUUUUUCCCUGACUCCCCACUACACUCUCAAACCUUAACUAGCGAUCUCCCUAGCAAACUCAGGGGAAGCUGCUAUCCCAACCUAGUGAAGAUAAAUAAACAGUGAAGAGAUGGAAGGGAAAGAGUAUAUUUUCUGACCACAGUAGAAUCAAACCAGAAAUCCAUAAAAAAACUAUUAACCAAAGAAGAUAAUACAAUGGAAAUCAGAAAAUAUUUUGAGCUUAAAGACAAUAGAAAUAUGACACAUCAAAAUCUGGAAAUGCACCUAAGGCAGCAAUUGAAGAGUAAUUUAUAGCUUUAUAUGCAUAUAUUAGAAAAAGAAAUAUUGAAAUCAAUGACCUGAUCUAUCAAGUCAAAAGGCUAGAAAACAACAGCAACUUAAAUUCAUCAAAGGAGAGAAAGAAAUUAAUCAAGAAAGGCUGAUAACAUGAAGAGGUCUAAACAGAAGAAUAUGGGGGUGACCCCUAGAAUGCAGACAGAAACUGUGUCAUAGCUAGAAAUCUUCAGGCCCAACUUCUAUUGCUUAGCCUAAAUGGGGUCUUUCUUCCUUACUCCUUUAAAUUCUAAAUGAAA